RNAcentral lists this ribosomal RNA (702 nucleotides) under uncultured bacterium. RNAcentral's name for it is "bacterial SSU rRNA". It matches the Rfam family "Bacterial small subunit ribosomal RNA", at positions 505 to 1204 of the family's 1533-position model. The record is from RNAcentral.
GUGCCAGCAGCCGCGGUAAUACGGGGGGGGCAAGUGUUAUUCGGAAUGACUGGGCGUAAAGGGCACGUAGGCGGUGAAAAGGGUGGAAAGUGAAAGUCGCCAAAACACUGGCGGGGUGCUUUCUUGACCAUUUCACUUGAGUGAGAUAGGGGAGAGUGGAAUUUCGUGUGGAGGGAUCAAAUCCUAAGAUAUACGAAGGAACGCCAACCGCGAAGGCAGCUCUCUGGGUCCCCACUGACGCUGGGGUGCGAAAGCAUGGGGAGCAAACAGGAUUAGAUACCCUGGUAGUCCAUGCUGUAAACGAUGUCGACUUGGAGGUUGUUUCCUUGAGAAGUGGCUUCCGAAGCUAACGCAUUAAGUCGACCGCCUGGGGAGUACGGCCGCAAGGCUAAAACUCAAAUGAAUUGACGGGGGCCCGCACAAGCGGUGGAGCAUGUGGUUUAAUUCGAUGCAACGCGAAGAACCUUACCUGGUCUUGACGUCCAUAAAAUUUUUUAGAGAUAAAAAAGUGCCUUUACCGGGAAUUAUGAGACAGGUGCUGCAUGGCUGUCGUCAGCUCGUGUUGUGAAAUGUUGGGUUAAGUCCCGCAACGAGCGCAACCCUUGUUCUCUGUUGCCAUCAGGUUAUGCUGGGAACUCAGAGGAGACUGCCGGUUAUAAGCUGGAGGAAGGUGGGGACGACGUCAAGUCAUCAUGGUCCCUU